Molecule: transfer RNA, 68 nt
Filed under: Symploce macroptera
Lineage: Eukaryota; Metazoa; Arthropoda; Insecta; Blattodea; Blattellidae
Description: tRNA-His
Source: RNAcentral
AUUUAAGUAGUUUAAUUAAAAUAUCGAUUUGUGGUAUCGAUGAUAUAAAUUUAAAUUUGUCUUAGAUU